Molecule: ribosomal RNA, 553 nt
Filed under: uncultured fungus
Lineage: Eukaryota; Fungi
Description: eukaryotic LSU rRNA
Rfam family: 5.8S ribosomal RNA (bases 177-330)
Source: RNAcentral
CUUGGUCAUUUAGAGGAAGUAAAAGUCGUAACAAGGUUUCCGUAGGUGAACCUGCGGAAGGAUCAUUAGUGAACGCCCUCACGGGCUUAUAACUAUUCCAAACCUCUGUGAACCGUGCCCUUCGGGGCUAUUUUACAAACAUGGUGUAAUGAACGUCAUAUAUCAUAACAAAACAAAACUUUCAACAACGGAUCUCUUGGCUCUCGCAUCGAUGAAGAACGCAGCGAAAUGCGAUAAGCAAUGUGAAUUGCAGAAUUCAGUGAAUCAUCGAAUCUUUGAACGCACCUUGCGCCCUCUGGUAUUCCGGAGGGCAUGCCUGUUUGAGUGUCAUGUAGACUCAAUCCCUCGGGUUUCCGAGGAGAUUGGACUUGGGUGUUGCCGCUCUGCCGGCUCGCCUUAAAAGACUUAGCGGGAUAGCACCGUAGUCGGCGUAAUAAGUUUCGUCGGUGAAGGUUGUGAUGACUGCUUACAAUCGCCCUUGGGCAAUUUUUGACUCUGACCUCAAAUCAGGUAGGACUACCCGCUGAACUUAAGCAUAUCAAUAAGCGGAGGA